RNAcentral lists this ribosomal RNA (253 nucleotides) under uncultured bacterium. RNAcentral describes it as "partial 16S ribosomal RNA". It matches the Rfam family "Bacterial small subunit ribosomal RNA", at positions 524 to 776 of the family's 1533-position model. The record is from RNAcentral.
UACAGAGGUCCCAAGCGUUGUUCGGAUUCACUGGGCGUAAAGGGUGCGUAGGUGGCGAGGUAAGUCGGAUGUGAAAGCUCGGAGCUCAACUCCGAAAUGGCAUUGGAAACUACCUUGCUCGAGGGUUGGAGGGGGGACUGGAAUUCUCGGUGUAGCAGUGAAAUGCGUAGAUAUCGAGAGGAACACCAGUGGCGAAGGCGAGUCUCUGGACGACUCCUGACACUGAGGCACGAAAGCUAGGGGAGCAAACAGG